GGAGUCUAACAUGUGCGCGAGUCCUUGGGCUAGAAGCCCAAAGGCGGAAUGAAAGUAAAGAGAGCCUUGCCUUUCUGAGGGAGGAUGGUACCGCUCUGGCGGCCGCCAGCACUCCCGGGGCGUCUAUUGCUCAUAGCGAGCAGAGGCGCACCAAGAGCGUACACGUUAGGACCCGAAAGAUGGUGAACUAUGCCUGGUCAGGACGAAGCCAGGGGAAACCCUGGUGGAGGUCCGUAGCGAUUCUGACGUGCAAAUCGAUCGUCGGAGCUGGGUAUAGGGGCGAAAGACUAAUCGAACCAUCUAGUAGCUGGUUCCCUCCGAAGUUUCCCUCAGGAUAGCUGGUGCCCAUGUGAAACGAGUCUCAUCCGGUAAAGCGAAUGAUUAGAGGCCUUGGGGCCGAAACGACCUCAACCUAUUCUCAAACUUUAAAUAGAUGAGAACUCCGGCUUGCUUAAAAGUGAAGCCGGAGAUUCGGAUCAGGGUGCCCAGUGGGCCAAUUUUG
Molecule: ribosomal RNA, 502 nt
Filed under: Cymatia coleoptrata
Lineage: Eukaryota; Metazoa; Arthropoda; Insecta; Hemiptera; Corixidae
Description: eukaryotic LSU rRNA
Rfam family: Eukaryotic large subunit ribosomal RNA
Source: RNAcentral